RNAcentral lists this ribosomal RNA (460 nucleotides) under uncultured bacterium. RNAcentral describes it as "partial 16S ribosomal RNA". It matches the Rfam family "Bacterial small subunit ribosomal RNA", at positions 338 to 795 of the family's 1533-position model. The record is from RNAcentral.
CCUACGGGGGGCAGCAGUGAGGAAUAUUGGUCAAUGGACGAGAGUCUGAACCAGCCAAGUAGCGUGAAGGAUGACUGCCCUAUGGGUUGUAAACUUCUUUUAUAUGGGAAUAAAAUGUUCCACGUGUGGGAUUUUGUAUGUACCAUAUGAAUAAGAAUCGGCUAACUCCGUGCCAGCAGCCGCGGUAAUACGGAGGAUCCGAGCGGUAUCCGGAUUUAUUGGGUUUAAAGGGAGCGUAGGUGGAUUGUUAGUACAGUUGGGAAAGUUGGCGGCUCAACCGUAAAAUUGCAGUUGAAACUGGCAGUCUUGAGUACAGUAGAGGUGGGCGGAAUUCGUGGUGUAGCGGUGAAAUGCUUAGAUAUCACGAAGAACUCCGAUUGCGAAGGCAGCUCACUGGACUGCAACUGACACUGAGGCUCGAAAGUGUGGGUAUCAAACAGGAUUAGAUACCCGUGUAGUC